Molecule: long non-coding RNA, 8482 nt
Filed under: Coffea arabica (coffee)
Lineage: Eukaryota; Viridiplantae; Streptophyta; Magnoliopsida; Gentianales; Rubiaceae
Description: long non-coding RNA (CARA_LNC004479)
Source: RNAcentral
CCAGAUGGAAAAAACUCGAUUUUGAGGGGAACCCAGGAAGAAAAGCGGUAUCUUUCAGCAAAUCUAGAGCUGAACCUACGAUUUGCAGAGCCAGAUCUAGGGUUUCUGCAGAGGGGGAGGAGAGAGAGAGGAGGAGGAGGAGCAGAGAGAGAGAGAGGAGAGAGGAGAGAGAAAGAGAGAAUUGGGCUUGAACCCGAGCAAUCCAAUUGGACCGUUUCGGUGUGUUAAUCUUUGGGGUUGGUUAGGACUAAAGAAGUGAUAAGAUUCAAUGGGGGAGCGAUACCACAAUUAAAGUGUAUUGGAUAUGGACUUUGAGGUCCAUUUAUUGUUCUACUGUGUGAAAGUCAUGCGUGUGUAACUGUGUGUUCUCCUCCUGCAUACAGAACAAAGACUACUACACUAGUCUACCAAGUAACGUGCUCUAAUGGGAUUUGUGAAAAGAAUUUUGAUGUGCCUUUUCUGGGAUGGUUGGGCGGACCACAGCCCACCUUUAGGGGAUGGUUAGGUGGACUUUUUAGAGGGACAAAGGGGGAGGACGGGGUGCACAAGGUGCGGGGAGGGGUGGGUAUGGCGUACGUGUAGCCCACUGGAGUGCUCCGUGGACUCUAUUUCUAUGGUGGGGGCCUACACUUGGGGAAAGAAUCUUUUUUGGAAAUUUUGAAAUUAGCCCAAGGCAAAAUAUUUCAGAGUCCUGGUGAAGAUAUUGAGGAUCUGGACCAUAUAUGAUACUCCAUAUGGGAUCAUGGGAUGUGAUGCAUCCUCAUUUUUCACCGGGGAGAGUGGGUGGGAUUGUCAUUCCUUGUCUCUAUCUCAAUUCCAAGCACCAUCACUCUCUUUCUCACAACUACAAAGGCCUUUUUUUUUUGUGGCAGGAUCGGUUGGUUCAUACACUUGAGAGAUAGAAAAGAUUUUUCCAAGGUCUUUUGGCGUGUAUUAGGUGGGUUGCUGCUUGCUUGACCCCAAGCAAGUCUUCUCCAAUUUAAAAUCAAGGUUUUGAUGCUACUGAAGUGUAUACCAUAUGUUAUUAAUUAAAGACAUGUUAUUGUAAAGAGGGUUUUGAUGGAGUCCAAAAUUUUAGGCAUACAUUUUCUAAACAUCCACAAUAUUCUCAAUCAAUUUAAAGGAAAGGGGGAAAAAAAAAAAAGAAUUGCUGGCUGACAUAAAUGGUCGGCACCCAGCUUUGUUUGGACUGCAUUUUUCUGAAUUUUUUUGUAGAAAAAUUACUAUUGCGAUUUGAUAUUUAUGAGGUAAAAAGAUAAUUUGUCAUUCGAAAACGUAGCAAUUUUUCUUUGAAAAAUUACAAUCCAAACACACAGACUCUAAAGAACCGAUAACAAAAUAAGAUUCCAAGACCAGUACCCCUUUUUUCUCAUAACAUAAAGUUGUACAAAAAAAAAAGGAGAGAGAUUGGGGUAUGGCUGAAGUAAUAGACUCGUCAAGGCCUCGAGAGUGUGUGUGUCAAUCGUUCGAGUAAGAAAAGAAACGAUUUUUCUUGGUGUCGGUCCGUUCUGAGAGAUGUGGCUUUCAUAAAAUUCACAAAGCAUUUAAAUCAAAUCCGUGAAAUUAUUUGACCAUAAUCUGUAUGCCUUCCUCCUCAGCAGCAGCAGCAUCUGUUGCUCAUAACAGCUUUAAGCACAUCACUACUAAGGAUAAAUAUUUCAAGUUUGUGAAUCUUAUUCUUGACAGGAAAGUCUAUGAUGGAGAAAUAGUAGCAGCAGCGUAUGAUUUUGGAUCACCCAACCAACUCUAAGGACAUUAUUAAUAUUGGUGGCAGCCGAUGGUAUUGGUGUCCUCGGACUAGAAGAAGCAGCGGUCAUAUAUAUAAUGUAUGGUCCCUCCCUUUAGCAAAAAAGACUUUGGGCUAAUAAGGCUUUUGAGUUUUGAACGAACAAACAGACAAACAAACAAUUCGGCCAACAUUUAACCCGUAACGCUGAUGUUCCUUCAUGGAUCACUUAACAUUUCUUUUUCUCUCUUCUUUUUUUUUUUUUUUUAAAUCGUAAUAAUGAGCUGGGGAUAUAGUGACUUAACAGACCCCAUUACGUAAUGAAAAAAAGAUCUCAAUAAUUCUUCAGCCCAAUGACUCAAAAGUUAGCCACAGCCACUACUCUUCUUUCAAGACAUUGACGGAAAGGAAAGGAAAGGGUUACUUUCAAGGCGUACCGCUAGUCUAUGAAUAAUGUCAUCAGUUUAUUAUGCUUCCCAAUAAAUAUGGAUCGGUCAUGACCAUGCAGGCCAUUAGAAAUAUGAGCAUUUCCUCCAAUGGAGAAGCAUCAUCAAUCAGUAGUAAUUCACUUGAAACAAGAAUUAUUUUUUUUUUCAAAAGAUCAUGAAAAGAAAAAAUCUAAGCUUUGAGCUGAUUGCACAUUUUUGGACAAAGUUGAUGGACAGUUGAUAAAGAACAUUAAUUCUUAGUAUGGUAAAACAGUACUAUAUAUUCCAUGAAUUGAACAUUUGCGCUAGUGAUAGGACUACAACUGAAGCAAUUCUAAGCUUAAUGAACAGAAGAUUUUGUUUGCAUGAAAUCGUUUUGUACCAAAAAAUGAAAGAAAAAAAAGAAAUCAUUUGCACAACAAUCAACCACCAAAAAAUGAUAUUCUCUGUUGUCUACACCACAUAAUUUUUUGUUUAUUGCGCACACUUUCAAUAAUCUUUUGUUGUCUACGAAUGUCAUUCUCCUAUGCUUAAUAAAAUCAUUUCAUUUCCAACCCAAAGGAAAAAAAAAAAGACAGGAAAAUUGAGCUUCAGACUUUCUUGUUUCCUCCCAACUCCCAAACUAUUUUCCUCGGGGACCUCAUAUCGACAUGCCCACUAGUUGACACCUCGCGGCUUUCUUUUAAAUUCUUCAUUAUGCAACAAAAGGAAAACUACAACCUACAUUCUAUAAUGUGUACGUGGUUCUUUUAAGAUACUCCUGCCCUUUAUUACUCAAAAGCGGACAAAUUGAAUGCAGGAAAACUACAAGGGCAGUUAAUUGAAAUGCAAUGAUGUUCACGAUUGUUCACUUCCUAACAACAGGAAAAUUUUUUUUUUAAAAAAAAGAUACAAAUUGAAAAGGGGAGAAUAGGUCGAAGCAAAGAAAAGUGCGGCUCUUAAAAAAGCGAAGCAAGAGAUGGUUGAACAGAGUGUCCAGAGUCCUGACUGGGGAUGGGAAAGACAAAGUCGUGGGUUAAAUCAAAACGACAGUGUGGUCUUUUAAAUCGUUGUCUCGGGCAUUAUGUCUUUGUAGCAUAUAUGCACACAAGAAUUCCUUGAUAUGCUGACAAAAGAGUGCAUGGUUCUCCAUGCAAUUGUCCCCAAAAGGUACACGUACUUACCUGCAAUCCCCUACACCACCAUUAUUGUCUUCCCCGCAAAUUAUCUUGGAUUCUUGCUCUAUUCCAACGUACGAAUCCCUUCCUUCCUUGGGCCUGCUUCAGUAGUUUGAAGUACUCUCAUUCAGGAUCCAAUUCAACACAGAGCUUUGAAAUUUUUUAUUACAUUAUUAUUUAGGUUUUUGUCAAGAAUUGCUACGCUCCGAAAUCAACCACGUCUAAAACAUAAGAAGGGUUUUUUUUGGUUAAACAAACCAACAAGUUAAACGCCUUCGAAACUCGCAUGACAUUUUGUCUAAGAUGAGGCUUGACUUUCGGCAUAUAGAUCCGAGCUAUGAUAAUGCCAAAGUAAAUUCUGCUGCUGCCUCGCCUCCUCAUUAACGAGUAUAAUUUACCGAGGUUGACUUUUUAAAGACUGGCCUCCAAAUAAAUGUAUAGAUGUCGACUAAACCAGAUGCCAAAUUAAAAUGAUCUAAUCUCGACUCUGACGUUCAAAAUUUCAGACUCUGGCAUCUUUGAUCUGCUAUGGGAUAAAUGUGGCAUGCGUUAGGUUCAUUAUUACGUUGACUUCCAAUCGUUUGUCACAAACAAGAGCAAGACUCUUUUUUUCAUCUUAUCUUUUCUGCAUAGGAAAUUCUAACUAUUAAGUCUACGCUUGGAUUGCUUGUUUCCGUCGGAAAAUAUUAUCGUUUUCCGUGAUCACAUUUCCCUAUCAUUUUUUUCCCUCACAUAAAUCAAAUCGCUACAGUAAUUUUUCUAUGAAAAAUGACGGAAAAUGCAAUCCAAACAUACUGCUCUGAAAGUAAUGGAGAGGCACUUAAUAGUUCAUGUACCUUUGCCAGUGAUGGAGAGGGACUUAAUCUAUAAUUAUAUAUUGCUCUGAAAGUAAUAUACAUACUCCCAAUUACUUGUUAAGUAAUCCUUCACUUGUCAUUUCCCAAUUGUAGAAAAAUACACUCGUCUCCGUUUUACAGAUGCCCGGCCUACUGUUUCUUCCCCUUCCCUUCUUUUACCAUUGGCUAAAAUAAAUAUGCCGUUUCCAGAAAUUUUUUUGUAAAAUAAUCCAGACUAUAGAUUGGUUGGAUUGAGGUGGAUAUGUUCUCCUGGCUGGAACACAGUUGCCGUCCUUCAUCAUGUACGGUUUUAUUAAUUAAAGGGAAAAAAAUUAAAGGAAAGAAAAAAAAAAAAAAGGGGUCAGUGUCCAUGCACCUUUGCUUCGGUGGCGUUAUUGUUCCCUUGCUGCAGUCACAACAUUAUUAAUUUUUUGUAACGGUCUUUCUUGUUCUGACUCACCGGCAGAGCCUCGCUGUGUUUACAAUUACAGCCGCCCCUCUUCAACUUUUCAAGCAUUAUUAAUAUUAUUGAAAGGGUUUUUUUUUAAAAAAAAAAAGAAAGAAAGAAAAGUUUAGCUUUUCCAAAACGUCCGUCAAUUGCACACUUUUAAAUAUAAAAAAAAAAAAAAAUGGUCUCUCUUCCCCACCAUUGUCUCCCUAAAUAUUUCUGUAAGAUGGAACCCUAUAGCAAAAAGGUCUAAGAUCUCCAACCGAAGAAUUUUAGAGCUACAAAAACUGGCAAUGUACAAGAACCCUAUUGCCUUAUUUUAUUAUUUGAUGUCCAGUUUCCUUAAUUUAUGAGCAUUUUACUAGCUAGUUACCUCUCAGUUGUGUUCUAGAAAUAUAUUUGCUUUCGCUAAUUAUACAUUACUAGUAGUACUUCACAAGUUAUAUUUUGAUUUGGAUAAGAAUGAUCAGUGUAUUACAUUACAUAUCAAGGAUUCUUCUAUUUUUCAGCUCAGAUUUAGUGUUGCUUUGCCUGCAAAAAUCUAAAAGCUUCUUCACUUUGAAAGUGCUGGCAAUUCAGAAGUGAUUAAUGGUGAUAAAUUUAAUAGAAAUGGUAGUACUUGCUAAAAUUAAUGAUGAAAUCAAACGACAAAAAAGCAUAUUUACAGCCUAAUGAAAAGCAGGUGAAUUUCACUACACUAAUCAACUAAAUUAAGAAGUGAUUGCCAGCUAACUUAAACUAGAAGAACCCACUAACUUCCAUGAACAAGGCUGUAUUGGAUUAUAGAAUACUACUAGAAAGUCUUUAUCUCCCUCUCUGUCGCUGUCUCUGUCCCAGCCUCACACGCACAACACACACUACUCAUACCCACACGAACACAAUACCCAUUUCUUAACACCAUCAGCGUGCUGCUGUACAAUUAUAAAAUGAACCCACGAACACAAAAGAAGAAGAAGAAGAUGAUGAAUAAGAGAAAAAAAAAAAAAAAAAAAAGGCGUAGGGGGUGUGGGUUUUGGAGGGAGGAGCACUUGAGGUGGAGGUGGAUCUCGUACAGAUACAAGCAUCAGCGUCCAUACCCGACAGCGAGACCUUCGUCCGGGAAAAACGGGGUGCAUGUCAUUUUUUACACACGUUCCCACAGUGGGUCCAUUUAUCGAAACACUCAUACAAAAAACUGUGAGUUAUGAAAGGGGUUCCCACAGUGGGUCACCCUCACAUGCCGCCAUGUGAGACCAUUGCAUCCUUUCUUUCGUUAUCCCCCGCAAACCCCAUUUCCUUAAUCCCCCAUUCCCCCUCUAAUUAAACAAUUUUAGGCCUCCCCCUAACGUGUUUCUGUUAUAAGCAUUGCUUUUUCCCACUUUCAUCUCAUGGAAGUUGUGUUGCACUCUCGCAUUCCAGAUUCAGUAAUUCAUGUUUGCCAAUGCAACAUGCCUGUAAUCCUUCUGAAUUUUAUGUGCGGUAGAGUGUUGGGUUCCAUGAAUCACCAACUGUAUUUUAUAAUCCAGAUUCAGUGGUAAUUGAAUAAGUAAAUGAAUAAAAUUGGCUUUAAGUUUCACUACCUUUUAGAAAGGUUCUAGGGCUGAGGUUGAGAUCCCAAGAGUUAGGGGUCAUGGAUUCCAAUACUCCUCCUCCUUUCUUAAAUCCUACCAUUCUUUUGCUAAAAAGAAACUCUACAAAAAAAAAAAAAAAAAAAAGUGGUCUGUGAGUAUUUGUUAAGAUGAAGUUUUAAGUGUUAAUAUUUUAAAAAUGUAAAAUUUAAUAGAGAAUGUAUAUAAUUAUAAAGAUGUGAUGUAGGCUAUCAAAAACAGUGCCUACCAAUUGGAAAAAAAUCCUUUUGAAAAUGCAAAAUUGAAGAAUCACAAGGGAAAUCAAUUUGUUUUUGGUGUUGACUCUAUGAUUACAGAGACAAAGUAGGGUGCAUUUGAUAAAAUUAAAGUCUGAAGUUUGAAAUAUGAAAUAUGAAAAUUAAAAUCUUAAUAUAUUAAGUUAUUGAAUUGUUAAAUAUUAAAUCUAAUGUAAUUGAGUGCAUAUCACAUUCAAAAAUAAGUGAAUAGUCUAUUACUUAAUUUUGAGAGCAAGUUUUGCUUAGAAAAUUCAGUGCCACUUAAUUAAUUUAGAUGUUCAAUUUUUUGUUAUCAAACGGUUUGAAUAUGUUAGAUCUGAAUCUAUUAAAUUUAAAUGUUAAUUUGGGUUAUUAAACGGGUCUAAGUGAUAGGUUAUUCAUGUAUCCAUUCAAAUAUAUUAUAUUUAAUAUUUAACAGUUUAAUAACUUAAUGAAUUCAGACACCCUUAAUUUCUUAAGCACGUAACGAAGCUUAUAUUGAAUCGCAAAGACAGAAAAAAUGGCAACAACCUGAUCGAGGGAACUGUAAACCAUUAAUACGGUAACGAAGGAUAAUAGAUUUUUCACUUCACAGGUUGUUCAUUAUUAGUUAAGGUAGAGUCGGCUUCAUUGGCGAUCAAUUCGAAACAGAAUCAUCAAUUUCUUUUUUGCCUUUUUGAAGUAUGACGCAUGAAAAGGUACACGAGCGUAGAGGAACAGUGCAGAAAAUAGCUAAAUUGAUUUGAUUUAUCACUAUUUCAGAUUACAAUAUAUCAACCAACGCGUCUUCGGGCAAAUAAAUCCACUUUUCUCCAUUCUUGUGCCAUGUUCAUAAGUGACGGUACAUAAAAUUGCCUAGGAUUCCUAACUGGCCACAAGUCACAGCCAUAUGCCCUUUGUUUUUUUAAGAAAUACCUUGCUUGUUUGGAUUGUCAUUUUCUGCCAAAAAAUUGCGUGAUUUUUUGUGAUCAUAUUUUUUUAUUAUCUUUUUUUCUCAUAUACAUCAAAUUCCUACAGUAAUUUUUUCAUGAAAAAUCAUGGAAAAUGCAAUCCAAACGGGGCCUAAGGAGAGGAAAAAAAUCUUAUUAAAAAAUUUUAGGAGAGAGAAAAUUCAUUACAUAAAUAAAAAGAAAAAAAACAUAGGAAAGACACCAUAUAUAGAAAUUUAUAAGAAUUUUAUGCCCUUUCAUGUAAUGUGAAUGAGCAGUUACCUCUCAAAAUCGAAAUCAUUGUUCUUAUGCUAUAUUGUACCUUUACAAUCAUACGGGUUUUGCAAUCUUGACUUUAAACUUCAAAAAAAAAAAAAAAAAAAGAGUUCCUACAUAUUGUAUCCUUGAAUUCCCAUCAACAGUGAAUUUUACUAUACCUUUCGGCAAAAUAAGCAAGGUUAUCGCAACCAAUGAUUAGCAAAUUUCUUGUAAAUAUUUUCAUCUCUACAUUUGAUCUCUUGUGGAUAAACAUAAGCAAUGCGCUACAAAUCCUGGACAUGUAUAUGAUUGAAUCAUUAAAUCACGGUGAUUUUGGAAAGAUUUUUCGACAAAUCAGUUGACACUUUAGGAUCAAAAUACAGUUUUUCUAUGUAUACCCUGAGUUGUUUUGAUUUGGUUCACAUGAAUCCCUCCACGCAUGAUCACUACGUCUAGUUAUCUAGAGUUCACGGAACUUAAUUGCCCUUAAAGCUUGCUCUAACAACUAACAAAAUUACAAUCACAAUUUUCAUGUGAUGAACUAGUUUGAAAAGUAGAUAUGCCAUGCACCUAAUCACGGAUCUUUUUUAGAAAUAAAAUUUCUUUGAACAUCAUAUUUUAACAUCUAAAGGCUUGUGCUUUGUGGCAUUAAACUUGACGGUGUAAUGUUAGAAAUAAAAAUUAUAAGAAUUUUUCUGAUGGUUACUAUAGAGAAAGAAACCCUCUACGAACACCUGUCAGGGCUGAAGUGUCUUGCUUGGACCUUUCUCGAACAGAAGCAGAGCAACAAGCAUCUUAGUCUAGGGUUCUCGGGGUAAGGCCAAAGCUUGAACUCAAGGAGAACUCUACUUCUAAUAACCUAACGAGACUCGUACUCU